GACGAACGCUGGCGGCGUGCCUAAUACAUGCAAGUUGAGCGCUGAAGGUUGGUACUUGUACCAACUGGAUGAGCAGCGAACGGGUGAGUAACGCGUGGGGAAUCUGCCUUUGAGCGGGGGACAACAUUUGGAAACGAAUGCUAAUACCGCAUAAAAACUUUAAACACAAGUUUUAAGUUUGAAAGAUGCAAUUGCAUCACUCAAAGAUGAUCCCGCGUUGUAUUAGCUAGUUGGUGAGGUAAAGGCUCACCAAGGCGAUGAUACAUAGCCGACCUGAGAGGGUGAUCGGCCACAUUGGGACUGAGACACGGCCCAAACUCCUACGGGAGGCAGCAGUAGGGAAUCUUCGGCAAUGGACGAAAGUCUGACCGAGCAACGCCGCGUAAGUGAAGAAGGUUUUCGGAUCGUAAAACUCUGUUGGUAGAGAAGAACGUUGGUGAGAGUGGAAAGCUCAUCAAGUGACGGUAACUACCCAGAAAGGGACGGCUAACUACGUG
RNAcentral lists this ribosomal RNA (497 nucleotides) under uncultured bacterium. RNAcentral describes it as "partial 16S ribosomal RNA". It matches the Rfam family "Bacterial small subunit ribosomal RNA", at positions 28 to 507 of the family's 1533-position model. The record is from RNAcentral.